RNAcentral lists this non-coding RNA (107 nucleotides) under Kocuria palustris. RNAcentral's name for it is "SAM-I sequence". It matches the Rfam family "SAM riboswitch aptamer (S box leader)". Rfam says of the family: The SAM riboswitch is found upstream of a number of genes which code for proteins involved in methionine or cysteine biosynthesis in Gram-positive bacteria. The SAM riboswitch acts at the level of transcription termination control. Lineage: Bacteria; Bacillati; Actinomycetota; Actinomycetes; Micrococcales; Micrococcaceae. RNAcentral also lists the same sequence under 1 other name. The record is from RNAcentral.
UUCCCAUCCGGAGCGGCCGAGAGACCUGGCUCGUCGACGCCGCAGCAACCAGUGCCGUCCAUCCGCGGCACAAGGUGCUAAUGCCAGGACCGAUGGAGUGAUGUGAU